This 421-nucleotide ribosomal RNA is filed under the name uncultured bacterium. RNAcentral describes it as "bacterial SSU rRNA". It matches the Rfam family "Bacterial small subunit ribosomal RNA", at positions 355 to 768 of the family's 1533-position model. The record is from RNAcentral.
UAGGGAAUAUUGGACAAUGGGGGCAACCCUGAUCCAGCCAUGCCGCGUGAGUGAAGAAGGCCCUCGGGUUGUAAAGCUCUUUUGUCCGGAAAGAAAAGCAUUCGGUGAAUACCCGGAUGUUCUGACGGUACCGGAAGAAUAAGCACCGGCUAACUUCGUGCCAGCAGCCGCGGUAAUACGAAGGGUGCAAGCGUUACUCGGAAUUACUGGGCGUAAAGCGUGCGUAGGUGGUUGUUUAAGUCUGAUGUGAAAGCCCUGGGCUCAACCUGGGAAUGGCGUUGGAAACUGGGAAGCUAGAGUGCGGUAGGGGGUAGUGGAAUUCCCGGUGUAGCAGUGAAAUGCGUAGAGAUCGGGAGGAACAUCUGUGGCGAAGGCGACUGCCUGGACCAGCACUGACACUGAGGCACGAAAGCGUGGGGAG